RNAcentral lists this unclassified non-coding RNA (363 nucleotides) under uncultured fungus. RNAcentral describes it as "partial contains small subunit ribosomal RNA, internal transcribed spacer 1, and 5.8S ribosomal RNA". The stretch from base 1 to 73 matches the Rfam family "Eukaryotic small subunit ribosomal RNA", at positions 1759 to 1831 of the family's 1831-position model. Lineage: Eukaryota; Fungi. The record is from RNAcentral.
GCAAACUUGGUCAUUUAGAGGAAGUACAAGUCGUAACAAGGUUUCCGUAGGUGAACCUGCGGAAGGAUCAUUAACAAAUCAAGAGGCAAUGUGCGCGAGAGCGCAUGUUGCUUUUGUGUGUUGUGGGGGGAUGUGCCUAGUCUCAGACUAGUUGCACCUUCCAAAUACACAUAUAUAUGCGCUCCAGGUUACACUGGAAAGUGCAAAUAACGCUUUUAUCAUAUUAUUAUCGAAUUAUUGUAAUGUGCAUAUGGUCACGUGACCAUAUACGCGUCAUGUGACCACAUUGCAUAAAGAAACAAAAUAAUCAUGGAAACUUUUAACAAUGGAUCUCUUGGCUCUUGCAUCGAUGAAGAACGCAGC